Long non-coding RNA from Malurus melanocephalus (red-backed fairy wren), 3104 nucleotides. RefSeq lists it as uncharacterized. The record is from RefSeq and is a predicted model, not a curated record. The transcript is spliced from 3 exons. Lineage: Eukaryota; Metazoa; Chordata; Aves; Passeriformes; Maluridae.
GUGCUGAUACCAAAUCAACACCUGGCUGGUGCCGUUUGUGGCGUUUUCUGUCCUGCUCUGGGAGCUGAUGGAAGGAACAGGCUCUGCUAGAGGGACUGGUUCCCUUGGCCUUCACCCAGGGCUCAGAUAUCUGAAUCAUAAAGGGCUGUGGUAUGUAGCUCAGCAGAAAUUAGAGCCGAGGGAGCCGGUCUGGUUUGGCCAAGUCUUUUCACUGAGGCUGCACAGACCUUUGAGGUGUGAUGGAGCCUCAGGUGCAACGUUGGUUUAAGCAUGACCARCCCAAACCUCUGACAGAAAGGGGAUGAAGGAAAAAAUCCUGGAACAAAACCCCACCACCUGGAGGGACGUGGCAUCCUGAAUCAGAGCCCAGGACUGCCUCAAAGACAGAGCUUGGCUGCGCUGGAGAACGAUCCAGAGACGAUCUUGGCCUGUUUUCACAAGACUAUUCCUCAUCCAAAUGUGCUGACCUUCUGCUUCUCAGUGUAUCAUGAGCAGGGUUAGGCUGACUUUGCUCCUCAGUGCCACCAGUGCCUUUCAAAUGCCAGUUCCUGCUUGUGUCAGAGGACCCGAGGAGUAUCUGGUGUGUCAUCCCCACACCACUGCCUUUCCCAUCCCUGCAAGGAAAGCACCCAAAUUUCAGCUGCCACCUCCUCCCCAAGGGGCACUACAUCAUUCAGUGGUUUGGUCAUUAGGGUCUCGGGGCAGAGGAGAUGUUACAGGUAAAUGGGAAAGGCUUUGUGCUCACCCGUCCUCAUUGCUGCAAUGCUUUCCUGACUUUUUAUGUCUUUAUCCCAAAAGCUGAUGAUAAACAGUUCCUGUUUGUGAGCAAAGACAACGAUGAGAGCUGUAAUGGUGGACUGAGGGAGGAGACAAGAGGCAGCCCCAUCCCUGGCACCACGAAGGAGUGGCAGCUGUAGGAUUAGCUCUUUCUUGCACAACUUGAGGGAAAUUUUCCACAAACCACUGGCACCACUCCCCAGUAUGAGUUCAGCCUCUACACUUGUACAUUAUUUAUUUCUUUCCCCCCAGAGGUGCUUUGCUUUGAAGUGUUUCAGUGCCUGUGAAACACCUGUGCACUUGAGCAUGUCCCUGGUGCUGUUUGCAGGGUCUGCCUGCCCUGCCUGGGUAACCCCAGAGGAUCCAGARUGGGGCACUUCAGAGCAGAGGGGCAGCCACAGUGGGAGAGGAGAACACAGAAAGCACCCAAGACAACUCUGGGUUGAUGGCAUGGCUGGAGAUUGUGCUCUCUCUCUGAGCUGGGCUCCUCCAGCAAACCUCGAGGAAAAAGCAGAAGGAGAAUGCUGGGCACGCUGUUGGCCAGCACAAAGUGGGGUGUGAGUGAAAGAGAGGAUGGGAUCUCUGUGCUGAGAGCACACUGAAUUUCAGGACUUUCCAAAAUGCUUAUUCAUCACCCCAGAACAAUCAGGUGGAUGGUCUCCCCAGACAAACUUGAUUCAUCUUCCAGGCAAUGCUUAUGCAUCAUAAGGGAAGCAAGAAAGGACAAAUGGUUGACCUGAGAGCUUUGCUUCCUUGUCUAUUCUUCUAACAUGCUGGACCUGAAAAAUACACGUUGGGUAUCCUUGUUGAUGCUCAACGAGGAGCUGAUGUGGCCUGCAGUCAUUUACCCUGUUAGCACAGCAUUCAUUUAUGUGCACAGAUACAGAGAUUUGCAGCUUUGUGCUGUCCACACUGGCACUUUCCACCGAGGGGAUAUGGCACACAUAGCAAUUCUUCAGCUUUUUAUACCAGUUAUUUCAAAUUUCUAUUUCAGCUAACGUAGAGAGGCGGAGUCAAAGAAACUGAUCAACAGGCAGGAAAAAAAAAAUCUAUGAAGUCUUGCUUUGCAGUUCAUCUGAUAAAGGAAAUGUAUAGUGUGUAAAUCCUGUUUCUCAUUGGGCUGAUUCACRUUUGUGUCAUGAGCUCUGAUUCUUCUAUCCCUCGCACUGUUAUUUCCCCUCACAUCACACAAGGUGAUACCUCUGUCCUAAGCCAGCAUCAGGAUGGUCAGAACAAUGUUUUUUGUUUGCAGCAAGAGAGGAGAUGUGUACAYUACCUAUGCUAACAACUCUGAGCARCAGGAGAACACCUUUAUAAAUGUGUUUAUAAAGAUAAAACCAUCUCCUCAAUGAAUGAAUUCUUCCUUCAUUGCACUAUAGCCAAACCUAAGAAGCUGCUGAAGACAAUUGAAAGCAGACCUAAGCUGCCACAGUGACCUGCACAUGGAUGRUGCUGCACCUGCCAGGACCUGCAAUUAAAUUCUCAAAAGGUGAGCAGCUUCAAUGUGUCCACUGCUCAAGCCCCAGUGCACCUCAUCCACCAUCUGAUGUGUUUGGAUGGAUGUGUUCCCUCCCAACAUCUCAAUCAUGGGAAAAGGUCCUACAUCAGCUUUGGGUGAAGAGUCAGCUAAAGAUGGAAGGUCUUGGGGAAUAGGAAUGCGUCAGGGUGGGCCCCUAUAGAUGUUCCCCUUGGCUUAGCUCAGUGCCACAAUCUUCAAAUUCCAUGGUUUGGACUCAGGUUGGGCUCAGAGCUGGAUCAGCCUGUCCAGCAGUUCAGGAGCUCAUGAGAUGUCUCAUAUCAAACACUGACCCCAGAAAAAGGAGCCUCAGACAGAGGCCACGGUGUUUGGUUUUGCAUUGCGCUGCCAGACAAGAAUAUCCUGUCAUUAUGUGGAACCACUGAAAACUUUAAUAGCAUCCCUGCAACCUCCCUCCCCUCCCAAAGCAUUUUGCUGCUCUUAGCACGUUAGAGAGUAGCUACUCCCGCAGCAGAACUUGCAGGAUUGAGUGGUCUUGGCAGAGUAGCUGCAAAGGGCAUUGUGUUUAAUAAAAGGGCUGMACUUUACAGUUUAGGGUUUUCCCUAUGUCUUGAAGUGAGAUUUGGUCUUUGGAUGUUAAGUGCUGGGCUGAUGAGCACAGAAGAUCCAAACUGGCUCCCUGCGUCCCUCUGGCAGCAAGCAGGCAGGCACUUUUCUCCUGCCCUGGGACACUGGGGGCAGAUUCCCUGCAGGUUGCUGCUGUCCUUGCUAAGGAAGGCAUGAUUUGCAGCGGUGCUGGGUGCCCGCAGGUGGCUCAGCAUCGCUGGGAAUCAGGCGAGGGGGUCCCGGC